CUAUUUUGAGGUUUUAAUGCCAAAUUUAAAGCAAUAUUUAUAUAAAAACCCAAUCUCAGAGGUAGAGGUUCUUUUUGAAGCUAUUACUUUGCUUUUGAGGAAAAAAGGCUAUACUUGCUAAAAUCUCCUUGUUUGAAGGAUAACGUAAUCAGAAUCCAAAGGUAAGCUCAGUUAAAAACCAAGACUAAAAUUAUUUUGAGUAUGGAUAGUCUCAUAUUUUAUAGUACUAUUUUUGUGAUAAUGGAAACUAACAGGUGUCUCUAAGCCUAUAGCCCGGCUCUGUGCUC
This 287-nucleotide long non-coding RNA is filed under the name Bos taurus (domestic cattle). RNAcentral describes it as "long non-coding RNA NONBTAT001596". The record is from RNAcentral. Lineage: Eukaryota; Metazoa; Chordata; Mammalia; Artiodactyla; Bovidae.